GGCGGGGGGGGGGGGCGGGCGUGGCGCGGGCGGGGCGGGCGGUCGGGCCGCGGCGGGGGUGCGCGCGCGGCGACCGGGCGCGUGACCCGUGGGUGCCCUGCCCUCCGCUCUGGGCUACGCCUGGGAAACUGGGUCUACUACCGGCUAUGACCUUUCCUCGCAUGGCGGUUGGCGGGAAGUGUUUUCGGCUGGGGAUGGGCCCGCGGCCUGUCAGCUUGUUGGUGGGGUGAUGGCCUACCAAGGCGACGACGGGUAGCCGGCCUGAGAGGGCGACCGGCCACACUGGGACUGAGGCACGGCCCAGACGCCGACGGGAGGCAGCAGUGGGGGAUAUUGCGCAAUGGGCGGGAGCCUGACGCAGCGACGCCGCGUGGGGGAUGACGGCCUUCGGGUUGUAAACCUCUUUCGACCCCGACGAAUUUGGACGGUAGGGGUAGAAGAAGCACCGGCCAACUACGUG
This 460-nucleotide ribosomal RNA is filed under the name uncultured bacterium. RNAcentral's name for it is "partial 16S ribosomal RNA". It matches the Rfam family "Bacterial small subunit ribosomal RNA", at positions 38 to 507 of the family's 1533-position model. The record is from RNAcentral.